This 33-nucleotide small nucleolar RNA is filed under the name Daucus carota subsp. sativus. Its description in RNAcentral is "snoRNA Plant_U3". The record is from RNAcentral. Lineage: Eukaryota; Viridiplantae; Streptophyta; Magnoliopsida; Apiales; Apiaceae.
GACCUUACUUGAACAGGAUCUGUUCUAUAGGAU